UGGGGAAUAUUGCACAAUGGGCGCAAGCCUGAUGCAGCCAUGCCGCGUGUAUGAAGAAGGCCUUCAGGUUGUAAAGUACUUUCAGCGGGGAGGAAGGGAGUAAAGUUAAUACCUUUACUCAUUGACGUUACCCGCAGAAGAAGCACCGGCUAACUCCGUGCCAGCAGCCGCGGUAAUACGGAGGGUGCAAGCGUUAAUCGGAAUUACUGGGCGUAAAGCGCACGCAGGCGGUUUGUUAAGUCAGAUGUGAAAUCCCCGGGCUCAACCUGGGAACUGCAUCUGA
This 283-nucleotide ribosomal RNA is filed under the name uncultured Escherichia sp. RNAcentral describes it as "partial 16S ribosomal RNA". It matches the Rfam family "Bacterial small subunit ribosomal RNA", at positions 355 to 630 of the family's 1533-position model. Lineage: Bacteria; Pseudomonadati; Pseudomonadota; Gammaproteobacteria; Enterobacterales; Enterobacteriaceae. The record is from RNAcentral.